Saccostrea cuccullata (small rock oyster) is the source of this 289-nucleotide long non-coding RNA. RefSeq lists it as uncharacterized. The transcript is spliced from 3 exons. The record is from RefSeq and is a predicted model, not a curated record. Lineage: Eukaryota; Metazoa; Mollusca; Bivalvia; Ostreida; Ostreidae.
UUUUCUCCCACAGAAUCACUCUAUAGAGACAACAAUUUCAAGCAGUGUUGCCAAAAGGCAUCUGACAUUGGAUAAUAAUGCAUAUGAAUUUUCACAAGUAAAAAUCAGAUAUGAAGGGAUGUGCUGUGCAGCUGUUACAAGGAUGAAAAUAUGGCUACCUCACUGGUUGUGAUGUUUCUUCAGCGAGCAAAUCUUCAUCAAUAAUCAGGAUUAAAAAAUAAAACCAAGAAAAAGAAACAAGAUAAACGGAAACCGUGCAGUUUUUCCUUGUUUUACCAGAUACAAGAAA